RNAcentral lists this unclassified non-coding RNA (221 nucleotides) under uncultured fungus. Its description in RNAcentral is "sequence contains ITS1, 5.8S rRNA gene". The stretch from base 173 to 221 matches the Rfam family "5.8S ribosomal RNA", at positions 1 to 49 of the family's 154-position model. Lineage: Eukaryota; Fungi. The record is from RNAcentral.
UCUCCGUUGGUGAACCAGCGGAGGGAUCAUUACUGGAAUCGCAAGACUCCCAACCCCUGUGAACGUACCGAAACGUUGCCUCGGCGGGCCUCGCGCCCGCCGGCGGCCCCACUCCACUCUUUUGUAAGCGGCACUGCCUGUCUGAUUAAACUGUUACCGAAAUGGAAAACACAACUUUCAACAACGGAUCUCUUGGCUCUGGCAUCGAUGAAGAACGCAGC